AACUGCAUAUCGGGAACAGGUGUCUGGCUGCAAUAAUGCUUGCUGGCCAGACUUAAAAGGGAAGUCGGUGCGAUACCGACGCGGUCCCGCCACUGUAACGGAGGAGCAGGCAGCCUAUUCAGCCACUGAUUGAGAUCGAUCGGGAAGGCCGCUGUCAUGUGACGAUACCGGAGCCAGGAGACCUGCCUGUUCUGACAGCACUAC
This 204-nucleotide non-coding RNA is filed under the name Paenibacillus sp. The record is from RNAcentral. Lineage: Bacteria; Bacillati; Bacillota; Bacilli; Caryophanales; Paenibacillaceae. RNAcentral also lists the same sequence under 1 other name.